GAAAUGCGAUAAGUAAUGUGAAUUGCAGAAUUCCGUGAAUCAUCGAAUCUUUGAACGCACAUUGCGCCCUCUGGCAUUCCGGGGACAUGCCUGUCCGAGCGUCAUUACGCACCCUCAAGCCCGGCUUGUGUGAUGGGCCCUGGCGUCUCGUUCGCGAGACGGGCCCGAAAGGCAGCGGCGGCGUCGACCCGAUGAGCCCGAGCGUAUGGGGACUUUUGUCACACGUUUGCGGUGCGGACCGGCGCCUGCUUGACUUUUCUGAUUAUCCAGGUUGACCUCGGAUCAGGUAGGGAUACCCGCUGAACUUAAGC
This 311-nucleotide unclassified non-coding RNA is filed under the name plant metagenome. Its description in RNAcentral is "partial contains 5.8S ribosomal RNA, internal transcribed spacer 2, and large subunit ribosomal RNA". The stretch from base 1 to 104 matches the Rfam family "5.8S ribosomal RNA", at positions 50 to 154 of the family's 154-position model. The record is from RNAcentral.